AUGUCCGAGUACUCCCCCAGUACUCUCCGCCUAUGCCGAGUACUUUUUAUUUAUUUUUUAUUUUUAUUUUUUGAAUAAAAAAACAAUUCCCCUAAGAGGGGUGCACCCCGUACGUUUUUGGACAAGAGGGAAGUUAUAGAGGGGAAAUGACAUGGCAACGUAUGAUUGGGUUAAAAAAAGUUUCCCCUCACCUCAUUAGGGGGGUGCCCCCUUCACCCUAAGACACCCUAUUUUGUUAUAUAUAGUAAUAAUACCUCAGCAGAGUGGAUUUGGUGUUCAGAUUCAGCCAUUCCCUUGGAGAAAUCACCAACUUGUGACGGAUAUAAGAAUGACGGUAUUUCAAAAAAACUCGAUUUCUCGACCGCCUGUUCAACGGUUAAUAUAGGUGGUUCCAAGUCCUCAAUAUCAUAAUCAACCAUGGCUGUAUCGGCUAGCACAUCAGCAAUCUUUUGUGUAUUUGCAACCUAACAUAUGCAUUCCUUUAAGCAUAAUUCUUUACAUUUACACAAAAUAACAUCUUUGAAAGAACUAAAAUACCGCAAACGCUAUACGCUGGCCCGCACACUGAGUAAGUUCAUCGGCAAAUAACGGUUCGGGACCAAAAAGGGUCUUGGAUCCUAUAUUAUCACCUCCUUUUGGAAUAUCUUGAAAUGUAACGACGGAAUGUACGUCUUUUUUGGAGUUUAAUCUAAUACGCUUUACCCGUGCCAACGGUUUGGUGCUGUAGAUAAAUGCUCCGUGAAGGCAGUUCAACGGUGAAGGAAUGUCAUCUACAAAUAUCGCUUCACCUGCAUGAUUAAGGUCACUUCGGUGAUGAGGGGAUCAUGCGUUGACAUCCAGAUGGAAAAAUUCGAACCGUUUGCUUGUGAACGGGUCGAUUUGGGUUAUGGUUUAUCUCUUUACAGAUCAAAUAGAGAACUAACUAAAGAACAAGUCAAACGGGUUGAACGUCAGCCAACUUGUAUUUUUAAUGCUUACAACUUCCUAAAUAGGCUUAACUAAAAGAUCUUAGUUAAAUAAAAAUUAUUGAACAAAAAAAUGCUUGUGGCCAAACCGAUUUGGCCCAUACCACAAGCAAGCUGAACCCAUUUUGACCCGUUACCCAAUCCGCUCGACCCGUAAGUUAUUGGUUGUAUUGCGUUAUACGCACCCGAAGCUUGGAUUGCAGAACCAGACUUUACAAUCGCUUCACCAACAGGAUAAUAUUCGCUGCUCGAUUCUAUCACCUGCUUUGCCGAUGACAACAAUGUCGUCGUUUCAGAACGAUCAAACGUCAUUCUUGGCGUAAUUCCAUAAGAAUUACAAGUCGAUGUACGCACGCAACCAUCAGCUUCAACUAGCGGCCAGAGAAAGUCAAACAGAAAACCAACCGCCAAGCUUGACCGAUAAGCGGAAUGUGACGUCCCACUUUCAGGAGAAACCGCAAACCUUAUUAAUUUAACCGCUUCAUAUAUCACAUCAACACUUAACAUUUUCCCAACAAGAUAGUUUUCAACUGUGCUUGCGCUUAUCGCGUGUUUAACGCCAAAAGAACCAAAAGCAAGACGAACACUGUUAAUUCUAACGCCUCUAUCACAUACAGACGUUUCAGCCAAAAACGCAGCGUUUAAAUAAGCUAAUGCGUUUCCAAGAGGACGUGGAGAAGCACGAUAAGUUUGAAAUAUAACUUUAGCGUUCGAUUUUUCCGAGUAUCCGUUUUUGGUUGGUUUCGGGUACGGAACGAACACACUCAAAAGCACGGUUCUUGAAUCUAAUGCAGGCUUUUCAAGAAACUCCUCAAGUGUAAGAAUUUCCUUUUUUACCCCCGUCAAGAUGGUAACUUUCGACUUCACCGCAAGAAGUACCGUAGCAAUAUCGGAAGGAAAAUUCUUUCUUUGCGCCAUUACCAAAUUUCCGCCUAUACUCGCUACAUUCCGGAUGGAUUCAGAACCAAUUUUCUCCAAAUGGGAUGCGAUUUUCUUGAACACCGCAUCAUCAUUUAUUUCUUCGUUUAAAGCCAAGAUUAAUUUUGAGAUCGAAACGGUCGCUCCGACUUCGAUAUGCGAGCCGGCUUUCUUGAUUGUGGAAAGUUCCGGAAUAAACCGAAGGUCAAUGUACGUGUCAUACUGAUUGGUUUCCUUAUAAUAACCGGCUCCAGUAUUACCAGCAACUAGUUUUACCAUUACACCGUUGUCAGCAGAGUUGUAUUCCACCAAACUCGUGAGUUCCUCUAUCGAACGUGGACUAUACCAAGACUUGUUUCGAUUAUUUAAAACUGUUGUCGAUUCGCAUUCGUUUUUCAAGAACUCGGGAUACGUAGUUAUCUGUUUCGGAUCAUAGAAUGGCAGUUUAUGAAGUUUGGUAUCAUUUUUACGGAAUGAGUUAAGUCCCAAAUCUUCCAUAUCGACAUCGGCUGCGAAACUUUUGCAUACGUCAGCGAUCGGACGGUAACCCGUGCAUCGACAUAGAUUACCGGAAAUCGAUUUUUCGGCUUCUGAGACGGUGAGUUUGGAGAAACCAAGAGCGGGUUCGGGCCGAUGGGUUUUUUCUGAGUUAACGAGUGCGGAAAAGAGUGACAUGCACAUCCCAGGGGUGCAGAAACCGCAUUGAGACGCGUGGAAACCGGCGAAACGUUCGUGAAUGGGAUGAAACCCGUCUUUGAUGUUGCCGAGACCUUCGGUUGUAGUGAUUGAACACAUGUUUAUGCUGCAAAGAAGUGUGAGACAUGAACUGAUUGUGUAAUCUUCGACUUGUUUGAGCUUGGGAUUGAACUUGGACAGUAAAACAUUACAAGCUCCACAACCACCUACAAUUGGAAAAUUCAUAAUAUGCAAAAGCUUCAAAUUGACAAGAAAUGUCUCAAAAAACGAAAAUGAACAACAUUGUUAGUAAAGAUCAUGUGGUACCAAGUACCAACUCAUUUAGACACUGUUUUUAAGUUAACAAGUUUAUAAUAGUUUCCCGUUUUGACCCGUUGACUACUUUGAGCGGAUAAAAAUAAGGGAAAUUUACGAAAAUGUCAUUUGACCAACGUUCUUUACGAAAAUGUCACGUUCAUGUGUCUGUGGACGGGACUCCUCCACAUGGGAUGCGUCCGGAUGCAAGGGAUGCGUCGGGGAGGGUAUGGGAUGCGUCGGGGAGGGCAUGGGAUGCGUCGGGGGAGGCAUGGGAUGCGUCGCGGAUGGACUCUUUAACAUUUGAAAGGACACGUGUCAGCUCCUCGU
This 3203-nucleotide long non-coding RNA is filed under the name Helianthus annuus (common sunflower). RNAcentral's name for it is "hypothetical non coding rna". Lineage: Eukaryota; Viridiplantae; Streptophyta; Magnoliopsida; Asterales; Asteraceae. The record is from RNAcentral.